Non-coding RNA from Zonotrichia albicollis (white-throated sparrow), 1851 nucleotides. The record is from RefSeq and is a predicted model, not a curated record. NCBI's taxonomy places the organism in Eukaryota, Metazoa, Chordata, Aves, Passeriformes, Passerellidae.
UGGGAUGAGACAAAUGGUCCUUGGAAGGUGUCUCUCUCUCCAGUGACCGCAACAGCAACCCAGAAAUGCUGCAGAGUGAGCUCUAGGCUUUCUUUGAGAACAGGAUCUGACCAAAGACCACCUGUGCAAUGGGAAAACCUGGAUCUUUAUGGUGUAUGAGCCUUGACCCCAACCUCUGAAGGAGGAAUCAGACCUGGAGAAAAGUUCCUGCAAUUCAAAGAAAUGAAGUGGCAACUUCUGGGAGAAGAAUGUUGAAACUCAAACCUGGAUUUCUAGCCUGAGUGUCCAUCAGGCCUUGAUAACCAAGCUGCACCAGGAAGAUGAGCAAUAACUGCAUUGCCAUGUGCCAGGGACCAAUGGGCAGAACACCCUGCAGGGGCCUCAGAAGGCUCCCAGCUUGCCUGGUAUCCAUGAAUCCAAAUGGAAAAGAGAAAACGGCAAAUGACACUCAAUCCCAAAGUGAGCCAAUCUGUCCUUGUACCCAGAGAAACAACUGACAGCUGACACAGGAUGGGACCUGCAGGGAUUUCUGCAGGAGCAAAGGCUCCUCUGGGGAAGAUUAAAGCUCAGUGCAAACCCCAAGGUCACUUCUACAUGAGCAGUGGGAAGGGAACAGGGUAAAACUUGGGAUCACCUGAGCUUGCUGGCAUCCAGCAGGGUUGGGGUUUAUUGCACUGGAGAUUCCACAAAACUUUCACCCACCAGGAGCUCUGGGCUCUGCAGAGUCUGAUGGAUAUCCUGAAAAAUUUUGGAGUGACAUUUUGGAGGGUAGCUGGCAAAACACGAGCCAGCAAGACAUUGUAGAAAGAUGAAUUCAUAAGCAGAAAGUUUUAGAGAGGGUACUUGAGGAUGAAAGAGUGGUUCCACCAACCUUCACCAUUCAUUUAUUUAAAUUUAUGCUACAAAAUGGACAGCAGAGGAAAGUCAAAACUUGCACUGAUGAUUUUUCAUUCUCUUCCCCCCACUGCCCCUGAUCUUUUAUUUAUGAAACUGGUCUGGGUGCACCUUUCAAAUGACUUUUUUUGGCUUACUGUUUAUUACGUCUUCAUCAGCCUUGAAAUGGCAGCUGCAGGCAGCUUGAUAAAUGGAUGGAAAAGCUGCUUCUGCCAGAGUCAAACUAACAAAAACCCCUCAGCAUCCAUAAGGGUUUUUGUUUUAGCAUUUCUAAAACAAGCACUAUUUCCCUCAAAGCAUCACUGAAGAGUGAUGCUCCAGUAGCCCUGAGUGUUUCAACAAAGGGAUUUUUUAAUCCAGUGAUGCCCAGGGCAGAAGUUCCUCACUGGGUCAUGGACAGGACUCAGCCUGCAGCUCUGGAGAGCAAGGGCAGAGAAAGAGAGAGAGAGACAGGGGGAGAGAGAGAGAGAUGUGGUCUUAGGAAGGCUGAGAAAAUCACUCCAAAAUGUGCUGGGCAGAUCAAUGGAGUAAAUGAGGCAAAAUGUAUGAAGUUGGGUCCUGCUCACAGAGACUUGCAGCUUUCAUGCAGCUAUUUUUUACCCAGAUACUUUCUGAACUCUUCAUUUCCUCCCAAUCCUUCUUUAAAUAUGAACAGCUCAAUACAUCCCUGCUUCAAACCUUUUGUCCUUAGCACAUUUAUAUUCCACAGCUGGCCCAGCCUGGCAGUAAACAAGGGUUUAGCUACUGUGGCUUAUUGACAGUGGUGAAUGGUUCAGUCCCAUCUGUGAAGGUAUAAAAUACCCACAAGAAAAUAAAUACCCCAUAAGAAAGUGGUAAGGAACCAUCCAGGUGAAAACCUGUCGUGUUAUCUGCUGCAGCUUACAGCACAAAUGUUGCAGCAAAGAAGGGAGACAGGGGAAAUCCACCACCACAAAAACCAACCAACCAACCAACCAA